GAUGCUUAUGUUGGUCGGCAGGUAUUAGUUCACUCUAAACUGUGUAAGCUUACCUCAGGUAUACCUUGAUAAGCCAUGUUGUUAGUUCUUACUGCUACAUUCUGUGGUAACCUUGACAUGGUUCAGUAUUAUGAGCAUAAUGAUUCAAUAUGAUGAUUCUGUUCUCUUUUAAGCUUACACAAUAUAAGCUUAAAAGAGAUUUCCUUUGAUUACUCUAAUAAUUCUUUGAGGUUAUCACUGGUUCAAUAUCUUGAAGCUUUAUAAGUAAAAUAUUAUGAAAGCUUUGCACUGGUCUAAUCUCAAGUUAUUUUCAGGUUUUCAACAG
Molecule: unclassified non-coding RNA, 325 nt
Filed under: Hevea brasiliensis (rubber tree)
Lineage: Eukaryota; Viridiplantae; Streptophyta; Magnoliopsida; Malpighiales; Euphorbiaceae
Source: RNAcentral